UCCACCCCCAGAAGAACCGCAACCGCCAGCCCCGAAAGAAGGGUUUGAUAUUGACAUGGAAGACAAUCUGGGGGAAGCUCCAAUGGAAAACAAUUAGUUUGCAUGGGCUGAGCAAAUGCGGAUGGGUUAGAUCCACAAGGCUAUGGUCCUAUGCAAUAGUGGGGUGAAGCCGAGCAAGAAGGCGAGGAAGAGGAAGAGGAUCCAGAAGAGAUGGAAGGAAAUUCUG
This 226-nucleotide long non-coding RNA is filed under the name Setaria italica (foxtail millet). RNAcentral's name for it is "long non-coding RNA (SITA_LNC003052)". Lineage: Eukaryota; Viridiplantae; Streptophyta; Magnoliopsida; Poales; Poaceae. The record is from RNAcentral.